RNAcentral lists this transfer RNA (85 nucleotides) under Lentinula aciculospora. RNAcentral's name for it is "tRNA-His". It matches the Rfam family "tRNA". From Rfam's summary of the family: Transfer RNA (tRNA) molecules are approximately 80 nucleotides in length. Their secondary structure includes four short double-helical elements and three loops (D, anti-codon, and T loops). The record is from RNAcentral. Lineage: Eukaryota; Fungi; Basidiomycota; Agaricomycetes; Agaricales; Omphalotaceae.
GUCCCCGUCGAUUAGUGGUUAGAUCAUCACGUUGUGGUUACAUGAGCAAUCCGUGAAGACGCAGGCUCGACUCCUGCCAGGGACA